GUAGUGUAAAGCGCUUUGGGGUCCUAUGGACUAGAAAAGCGCUAUACAAAUGCAGGCCAUUUAAUCUCAUUAAAAUGACGUUAACGCCAUAACCGCAUUAACUCUGUUGGCUCAUUAACGCGCCAGCGCCGUGCAGCCCCAAGCACGGGCGAUCUUCAUUAACUCGCUAACAGAGAUUUGCUGCGUUAAUACAGUUAUGGCAUAACUGUCAUUUUAAUGAGAUUAACGCUGACAGCACUACUUCAUAGUGAUUCUAAUAUUUAAAAAAAUGAACAGGUAGAAAAGUUUUUUUUUGAGUCUAACAGAGCUAAAGUUCUGUUAGCAGAACUUGUCCUGGAUGUAGUGUGUAUUUCAUCAUCACACUUGUGUCCUUUUGUGCGAUUAAAAAUAAAAGUAAUAUUUAUACCUCGACUAUAAACCAUUGCAACAAGAAAAACUGAUUGUAGCACAGUUUGGUUGAAGACAAAUGCAUUUUUUUUAAAUAAUCACCCUGCGUCAAAACAACAAGCAUUCAGUACAGUUACAUAUUAAACAGUAAAUUACAGAUUCCCAAUGUGUGCCUUUUCUUGUUUUGUAUAUAUUUCUCCAGUUUGGUGUUUAUGCCUGCUGUCUACUAUUAAUAGUACUUGGAGGACUUGAAGCGAGCUCACCCAUGAUUUUGUUUUACAUGUACAAUCUCAAUAAAGACACCAAAGACAGGGAGGUGUCCUUUCCAGCUAAACAAUAAUGAAGGUCACUGUUUGAAUCAGUCAUAUUUCUUUCAAUACAGUGAUGUGCUGACAGGUCCAGGAUCAGUCCAAAUCAUCAGCAGUUUGAUCCACCUAUGGACUGAAGUGCAUUUGUGAAAAUGUUGAACUGUUCUUUUAUCAGUGUCUAACAGUAUGUGUAUGAAAGCCAUGUAAUGUCCAUGUGUGCAUGCUGAAAGAGACUGUGCUGGUCUGACUCCCCUCCUCCUUUCAGGGUGGAGCCUGCUGGAGUCCAGUGGUUGAGACCAGGUCUGAGGAAGUAUUCCUGUCAACCCACAAUUGACACAAACACAGUACACAGAAACCUCAAACUGUCUGACAACAACAGGAAGGUGACAUGUGUGAUGGAGGUUCAGUCGUAUCCUGAUCACCCAGACAGAUUUGAUGUUCAUCAGCUGCUGUGUAGAGAUGGUCUGACUGAUCGCGGUUACUGGGAGGUCGAGUGGAAAGGAGAGGUUUGGAUGACAGUGAGUUACAGAAGAAUAAGAAGGAAAGGAGUCAGCAAUGACUGUUUGUUUGGAGAGAAUGAUCAUUCCUGGAGGUUGUACUGCACUAACGAUGGUCCUAUUUAUGUUUGUCACGAUACCAAAUUCGUAUCCACCACCACCUCCUCCUCCUCCGUCUCUAACAGAAUUGCAGUGUACGUGGACUUUCCUGCUGGCACUUUGUCCUUCUACAGAGUCUCCUCUGACACUCUGAUCCAUCUCCACACGUUCAACACCACAUUCACUGAACCUCUUUAUCCUGGAUUAAAAGUCUUUAUGGGUGCCUCAGUGUGUCUGUGCUGAGUUGAGUGUAAAGAGUGUCCUCCUGCUAGAGAAAACUGACUGUUGAACAGAUAGUUCAGUCUGUACAUGUCUGUCUCUUUCACUCAGAAACAUGUUUUCAGAUUCAUGGAUUCAGUUGAUGUUUUAAACUGUUCUAAAUGAUUUCUUGUAAAUUUCUUCCUCUUCAGUCAUUUAAAGAUGGAAGAUACUAUUAUUACAGGAUCCAUAUGUUUUUUUUCUGCCUUGGUUUUUGGUUAGUUGUGUUUUUCUGAAGCUCAGUUCACAACCAGCUCCUCUGCAAAUGUUUGAUUUCUCUUUCUUAAUGGGAUUUUUCCAAAGUCUCCACAUGCUCUUACUGUUUCACUCAUUGUUGGAAUCUCAUAAUUUGAAAAUGUUUUGUAUAAGUUGAAAAUAUUGGCUCAAUAAUUUUAAAUGCAGUUAUAACCAGAAUAUCAUUGUUUUGAGGGAUCAUAAUGUAUAUGGCUUAUCUAAUAAACAGCAAAGGCUUCAAUCCUGAUUUGAAAGUAGUCUUGUGUUUUUCCAAUGUUGAACAAGAACAUGGUGCAGGAUGUUGGUACCAGCUUGGUUAUCAAACACAUGAAAAAUGUAAAUAUGUGUGUAUGGCACUGCAUAUGUUGUGUAUCACUUUAGUUUGUAUGAAAUAUGUAAACUAUCACAAAGUGUCCUGGUGAAGAAUCUGCUGGAAUUUGAGGAUGGAUAUUCUUUUUUUUAGAAGCUGUUUCAUUCAUAUGAUUUUAAAAAGUCCUGCAUCAAAAACAGAGAAAGUGAAGACAGAUGUGUUUGUGUGCUCAAAGGAAAAUCACAGCAAAAAGCCUUGUGAUGGAAUUAGGCAUUUUCUGUUCUGAAGCCGUCUAGUGGUUGUUUUGUGUAUAUUAUUAUUCCAGAUCUAGCCAGGGGCCGUUUCACCUGUGUUAAUCUGUUGCCAUCACAAGUUGUAAGUAAUAUUGUUUGUUAUCAUUGAAACAGGUUCGAAUCAAAUUUGAAUGGGUAUAUAACCUAAGCUAAUUAAAGUUGAUUUAUGCAGGAAA
Long non-coding RNA from Haplochromis burtoni (Burton's mouthbrooder), 2562 nucleotides. RefSeq lists it as uncharacterized. NCBI's taxonomy places the organism in Eukaryota, Metazoa, Chordata, Actinopteri, Cichliformes, Cichlidae. The transcript has 2 exons. The record is from RefSeq and is a predicted model, not a curated record.